Mesocricetus auratus (golden hamster) is the source of this 650-nucleotide long non-coding RNA. RefSeq lists it as uncharacterized. NCBI's taxonomy places the organism in Eukaryota, Metazoa, Chordata, Mammalia, Rodentia, Cricetidae. The transcript has 5 exons. The record is from RefSeq and is a predicted model, not a curated record.
UGUUUAAUGGCGGCAUCAGACUUCCUCCUACAAGGACGGGACGUGGCUAGAUUCUUUUUUAACACAGCUUCCAAUUUCCCCUUGAACUCUCUGGGGAAUACUCUAGACAUGUUUACAAUGGUGGAUGUAAUGUGACACUAAUGGAGUGUAGGGUCUGUGUCCCUCACCUUUACAGACCUCAUCUCGUGGCUCCAGCCUGAGGACUCUCACUCCUUUGGGUUCUGUAUGUGUUAGUAAGAUACCAUCUAAAAAGCAGAGAGCAGCCUUCCACAGACAAACCUUCAGUCUCCUUGAUCUUGGACUUCUUAGCCUCCAGAACUUAGGUGAAACAUUAAAAAAGAAAAAGCAAUGGACUGGGGAGAUGGCUCAGUCUGGAAAGUUCCUGCCGUAGAGCGUGAGGACCUGUGCUUUGACCCUCGGCAGCAAAGAAAAAGGAGCCAAGCAAGAGGGCAUGAAGAUUACUUCUCGGCACCCGUCGCCAUUCUUCUAGCAACAGCCCACCUUCUGUCAAAAGGACCCUUCAUUUCCACAGGCUUCUAGAAAAGCAAGGGCAGCGAUACCCGUCUAAUCCUGAAGAAGGUUCCAGCAAUUUUCUAGGCUAGCUGCAAAGUAAUGAGCCUUGACAUUGAUUAAAGAAGUCAUUCUCUCAA